GCGCAGCCGCGACCUGGGUGAGUGGCUUUGCUGCGAGCCCACGCGCCCUUUGCCCAGAGGCUCCCAGACCCGCCCAGCGGGAGGAGGGGACGGACCCCACUACUUACAGACAUUCACCGAGCCGACGCCCUCGCACAGCCUGCAGGGAGAGAAGGCGAGAGGGCCAAGGGCCUGACUGUCCACAAAAAAAAAGGAGCUUCGAGUGAGACCAACUGACCAACUAGGGGAAAGAAACCAAGGGCAAAGAAUGAGCUCACAUUCUGGGAGUGUUGUCCUUCUGGGAGCAGGAGCUGUAUAGCUGCCCUCCAGCUGUAUCGCUGGCCUCCAGCCAUAGGAAGGCUGAGUGACCAAUGGGUCUUCUCCACUCCCCCCACCUCUGAAGCAAGCAAACAAGCAAAAAUCCUGAAAGCAAGGCAUAACUGCCCCAAGGGAUAAGUCCUUGCUCUCUGCCUAACUCAUUCCCACCUGCCACAAUGGAAUACCACUUUGGGAUGCUCAUUGGCACUAUAAUAGAAAAGCAUGAGUUGAUAGUGUCAUCUAUCUGAAGCUGUCCUUAUGGGAUACAUCUGAACUCCCAGGUCUAGAUGGGGCCAGGGCCAGACUAGGAAAAAGAGAAGGAAUCCU
Long non-coding RNA from Homo sapiens (human), 624 nucleotides. The record is from Ensembl. NCBI's taxonomy places the organism in Eukaryota, Metazoa, Chordata, Mammalia, Primates, Hominidae.